UACGAAGGGGGCUAGCGUUGCUCGGAAUCACUGGGCGUAAGCGCACGUAGGCGGAUCUUUAAGUCAGGGGUGAAAUCCCAAGGCUCAACCUUGGAACUGCCUUUGAUACUGGGGAUCUCGAGUCCGGAAGAGGUUGGUGGAACUGCGAGUGUAGAGGUGAAAUUCGUAGAUAUUCGCAAGAACACCAGUGGCGAAGGCGGCCAACUGGUCCGGUACUGACGCUGAGGUGCGAAAGCGUGGGGAGCAAACAGGG
RNAcentral lists this ribosomal RNA (253 nucleotides) under uncultured bacterium. RNAcentral's name for it is "partial 16S ribosomal RNA". It matches the Rfam family "Bacterial small subunit ribosomal RNA", at positions 524 to 777 of the family's 1533-position model. The record is from RNAcentral.